Non-coding RNA from Pelobates cultripes (western spadefoot toad), 823 nucleotides. The record is from the annotation of a GenBank genome assembly. Lineage: Eukaryota; Metazoa; Chordata; Amphibia; Anura; Pelobatidae.
GGGCUACAACGUUCUAUUCGCACAGUGAAAGCAGGAAUGAUGCAGGACGAAUGGCAGACUUUGAAACAGAAUCUGGUAACGCUGGAAGUGCUGCUUGGAGUGGAAGAGUGGAGACAUCAGUUGUUCAUCAGCCGGGUGAGUCGGUUCCCAACACCGUUGCCCCCACCUUUGCAAGCCCAAGGGUUUCCCCUGAGGUGGGCCACAGUACAGGUUUGGUUGGCACCAGGAGGGUGGCAGACGGUAGGCAUACGGCUAGACAAACGGCAGUGAGAUUGCACCACAAAUAAAGAUGGGAUUUGGGACUGUGGCUGACCAUACAGGGUUUGCCUGACUGCCUCCCAACUUUAACACACCACUACUCAAGCGGCACUACCCUGUUCGACAACGCUCCAUAAUUUCCCCUGACAGGUUACAGGAGCGUAGUGUGUCACCUCCCAGGAUAAUGUUAAGGUGACAUGGGGUGAGUCGAGAGGCAAGCAGCAGGGAGUAUGCAUAUAGGGAUGAUGCCGAGGGACCCCUCGGGGUGCUUUCCUCAUGGGUGGAUGUCCAACGCUGCACUGAGGAGUGUGAUGUCAGGUUCCAUAGGGACGCUGAUAGGUAUCGGUCUAGGAGAAGUCAUCGUAAGGGGAUGGACAGCGACGGCAGGGGGUCCCCUUCAGGAUAUGCAUGGUGGAGUAUUUCGGAUUCCCCUGUUAGGAUUUAGUACCGGAGGCAUAAUGGGUCUAGAUCUACUAGCGGGAGUUCUCCAGAGAUGGGCGCUCAUGGCCCUAUGGGUUAGGACGCCAGUGGGGGAUUAAGUCACGGUUCCCACUCAGGAGUAAGG